CAAAAACAUUUUUUAAUGAAAUAAUAUUAAAUAAAGUCUGCUCAAUGAAAUAAAUAGCCGCAGAAAAUUUACUGUGCUAAGGUAGCAUAAUCAUUUGUCUUUUAAUUAAAGACUAGAACGAAUGGCUUAACAAUUAAAUAAUUUUUUUCCCUAUAAAAUUUUAAUUUAACUUAAGCAUAAAAAUCUGCUUAUAAAUAUAAUAGACGACAAGACCCUAUUGAACUUAACUGAUGUUAAGCUGGGGAAGCUAAAUAAUAAUUAUUUUAUUAAUUUAUUUAUAAUAAAAACCCAAUAAGUAAAUAUAAUCAAGUUACCAUAGGGAUAACAGCGUAAUAAUUUUCUAAAGCUCUUAUUUAAAAAAAAGUUUACGACCUCGAUGUUGAAUUAAUUUUCCUUUCUAGCGCAAGCGCUAGAAAAGUAAGUCUGUUCGACUUUACAAAAAUUACAUGAUCUGAGUUAAAACCGGAGA
This 469-nucleotide ribosomal RNA is filed under the name Kryptonesticus eremita. Its description in RNAcentral is "partial 16S ribosomal RNA". It matches the Rfam family "Bacterial large subunit ribosomal RNA", at positions 1808 to 2622 of the family's 2925-position model. The record is from RNAcentral. Lineage: Eukaryota; Metazoa; Arthropoda; Arachnida; Araneae; Nesticidae.